GCCUGCCCGGUGACCAUGUGUUCAACGGCCGCGGUAUUCUGACCGCGCGAAGGUAGCGUAAUCACUUGUCUUCUAAAUAAAGACUAGUAUGAACGGCCACACGAAGACUUGACUGUCUCCCCUGUCCAAUCAGUGAAACUGAUCUCCUUGUGCAGAAGCGAGGAUACACCCAUAAGACGAGAAGACCCUAUGGAGCUUCAAACUCAAUAUUAAUUACCUUAAAACCCCCUCUAAGGAGCCAACAAAUAAUUUUUUAAACUUAUAUUAGUUUUAGGUUGGGGCGACCAUGGAGAAAAAAAUAUCCUCCCUGAUGACUUUCUAACCAAGAGCCACAGCUCUAAGUAUUAAGACACUUAACUCCCAUUGACCCAUUUUAUGAUCAACGAACCAAGUUACCCUAGGGAUAACAGCGCAAUCCAUUUCAAGAGUCCCUAUCGACAAAUGGGUUUACGACCUCGAUGUUGGAUCAGGGCAUCCUAGUGGUGCAGCCGCUACUAACGGUUCGUUUGUUCAACGAUUAAAGCCCU
RNAcentral lists this ribosomal RNA (527 nucleotides) under Megophrys glandulosa. RNAcentral describes it as "Xenophrys glandulosa partial 16S ribosomal RNA". It matches the Rfam family "Bacterial large subunit ribosomal RNA", at positions 1857 to 2597 of the family's 2925-position model. Lineage: Eukaryota; Metazoa; Chordata; Amphibia; Anura; Megophryidae. The record is from RNAcentral.